This is a long non-coding RNA of Stegastes partitus (bicolor damselfish), 189 nucleotides long. RefSeq lists it as uncharacterized. Lineage: Eukaryota; Metazoa; Chordata; Actinopteri; Pomacentridae. The record is from RefSeq and is a predicted model, not a curated record. The transcript is spliced from 4 exons.
CAGUGAAAUCAUUUCACAUCAGCAGCAGUGGCGGCCGGUAUAUAGGGGCGCUGUGGGCGGAGCCCCGCCUGAGCUGCGUGAGCCAGCAUGAGCAAAAAGAAAUGUCUAUUAUUUAUCUGAAACUUAUAGUCAAAAUGAGGAAAUCAUGCUAUUAUACCAAUCAUUCCCUUAAAUGUGUAUUUCAGUCCG